UACAGAGGUCUCGAGCGUUAGGCGGAAUCACUGGGCUUAAAGCGUGUGUAGGCGGAUUGGUAAGUACCUUGUGAAAAUCCCACGGCUCAACCGUGGAACUGCUCGGUAUACUGCCUGUCUUGUGCAACCUAGGGGCGAGCGGAACAGAUGGUGGAGCGGUGAAAUGCGUAGAUAUCGGAAGGAACAUCAGUGGCGAAAGCGGCUUCCUGGUCCAGCACCGACGUUCAGGCACGAAAGCGUGGGGAGCAAACAGG
This 254-nucleotide ribosomal RNA is filed under the name uncultured bacterium. Its description in RNAcentral is "partial 16S ribosomal RNA". It matches the Rfam family "Bacterial small subunit ribosomal RNA", at positions 524 to 776 of the family's 1533-position model. The record is from RNAcentral.